This 297-nucleotide small nuclear RNA is filed under the name Castor canadensis (American beaver). Its description in RNAcentral is "7SK RNA (ENSCCNG00000014074.1)". It matches the Rfam family "7SK RNA". From Rfam's summary of the family: 7SK was discovered as an abundant small nuclear RNA in the mid-70s but a possible function has only recently been suggested. Lineage: Eukaryota; Metazoa; Chordata; Mammalia; Rodentia; Castoridae. The record is from RNAcentral.
GGAUGUGAGGGCGAUCUGGCUGCGACAUCUGUCACCCCAUUGAUCGCCAGGGUUGAUUCGGCUGAUCUGGCUGGCUAGGCGGGUGUCCCCUUCCUCCCUCACCGCUCCAUGUGCGUCCCUCCCGAAGCUGCGCGCUCGGUCGAAGAGGACGACCAUCCCCGAUAGAGGAGGACCGUUCUUCGGUCAAGGGUAUACGAGUAGCUGCGCUCCCCUGCUAGAACCUCCAAACAAGCUCUCAAGAAUCCACACAGCUAUGCUCACCUUAUUUUUUACAAAGGUGCCAAAAAUAUAUGAUGC